This is a non-coding RNA of Strigamia maritima, 137 nucleotides long. The record is from Rfam. Lineage: Eukaryota; Metazoa; Arthropoda; Chilopoda; Geophilomorpha; Linotaeniidae.
AGCUUUGCGCAGAGGCAAUACCAUAACCAAUGAAGUUCUACUGAGGUGUGGUUAUUGCUAGUUGAAAACUUUACCCAAUAUCCUGCCAAUACGACCUCACGGUCGGAUUAGGCAAUUUUUGUAGGUCUCUAAGGAGA